This 1241-nucleotide ribosomal RNA is filed under the name metagenome. RNAcentral's name for it is "bacterial LSU rRNA". It matches the Rfam family "Bacterial large subunit ribosomal RNA", at positions 1564 to 2815 of the family's 2925-position model. The record is from RNAcentral.
UGAAUACGAGAUGCUACGGCGUCGAAGCAGUGUAUGUCAGACUUCCAAGAAAAGCUCGCAAUGUCAUAAAUAAAGAAUGCCUGUACCAUAACCGACACAGGUGGGUAGGUAGAGUAUACUAAGGGGCGCGAGAUAACUCUCUCUAAGGAACUCGGCAAAAUAACUCCGUAACUUCGGGAGAAGGAGUGCCUUCUUUAAGAAGGUUGCAAUAACAAGAUCCAAGCAACUGUUUAUCAAAAACACAGGUCUCCGCUAAGUCGUAAGACGAUGUAUGGGGGCUGACGCCUGCCCAGUGCCAGAAGGUUAAAGAAGCUGGUUAGCAAUAGCGAAGCUGGUGACUGAAGCCCUGGUGAACGGCGGCCGUAACAAUAACGGUCCUAAGGUAGCGAAAUUCCUUGUCGGGUAAGUUCCGACCCGCACGAAAGGCGUAAUGAUUUGGAUACUGUCUCGGAGAGGGACUCGGUGAAAUAGACUUGUCUGUGAAGAUGCGGACUACCUGCACCAGGACAGAAAGACCCUAUGAAGCUUUACUGUAACCUGAAAUUGAAAUUGGACUUUAUUUGCGCAGUAUAGGUGCAGGCGUUGAGAGUAAUCUUGCGGGAUUAGUGGAGCCAUCAGUGAGAUACCACUCCUAUAAUGUUAGAUUUCUAACUUUGGAUCAUGAUCUGGUCAAAGAACAGUUUCAGGCGGGCAGUUUGACUGGGGCGGUCGCCUCCCAAAUGGUAACGGAGGCGUACAAAGGUUUCCUCUGAACGGGUAGAAAUCGUAUCUAGAGUGUAAAGGCAUAAGGAAGCUUGACUGUGAGACCUACAAGUCGAGCAGGGACGAAAGUCGGUCUUAGUGAUCUGACGGUGCUGAGUGGAAAGGCCGUCACUCAACGGAUAAAAGUUACUCUAGGAUAACAGGCUGAUCUCCCCCAAGAGUUCACAUCGACGGGGAGGUUUGGCACCUCGAUGUCGGCUCAUCGCAUCCUGGGGCGGUAGUACGUCCCAAGGGUUGGGCUGUUCGCCCAUGAAAGCGGUACGCGAGCUGGGUUCAGAACGUCGUGAGACAGUUCGGUCCAUAUCCGGUGUAGGCGUUAGAAUAUUGAGAGGAGCCUUCUCUAGUACGAGAGGACCGAGAAGGACAUACCUCUGGUGUACCAGUUAUCGUGCCAACGGUAAACGCUGGGUAGCUAUGUAUGGAGAGGAUAACCGCUGAAAGCAUCUAAGUGGGAAGCCCACCUCAAGAUGAGUAUUCUC